Molecule: ribosomal RNA, 248 nt
Filed under: uncultured bacterium
Lineage: Bacteria
Description: partial 16S ribosomal RNA
Rfam family: Bacterial small subunit ribosomal RNA
Source: RNAcentral
AUACGUAGGUGGCAAGGCGUUGUCCGGAAUUAUUGGGCGUAAAGGGCGUGUAGGUGGAUGUUUAAGUCGUGUGUCUAAGUGCGGGGCUCAACCCCGUAUAGGCGCAGGAAACUGGAGAUCUUGAGUGCAGGAGAGGAAAGUGGAAUUCCCAGUGUAGCGGUGAAAUGCGUAGAUAUUGGGAGGAACACCAGUGGCGAAGGCGACUUUCUGGACUGUGUCUGACACUGAGGCGCGAAAGCCAGGGGAGC